UGAUCUUUUCUCAAACUAGUG
This is a non-coding RNA of Caenorhabditis elegans, 21 nucleotides long. NCBI's taxonomy places the organism in Eukaryota, Metazoa, Nematoda, Chromadorea, Rhabditida, Rhabditidae. The record is from Ensembl.